AGCCACUCCACAAAUGGCUUCACAUUCUUCCAAAUCAACGAGUCCUUAUUCCCACCACUCAACCCCUCCUCAUACCACUUCACCACAUACUCCUCUUCCAAAAUAUCAACAUCAUACAACGCCUUCAACACAAGCGGAACCUCCUUAACCGCAUUCCCAUUCCCAUUCCGACAAAACUCCUCAAUCGCCCUCAACACCAGAAUCUGCGAUUCCGCCCCUUCACCCACCACAGCCGCCAAAUAACUCUUCUUUUUCACCACAUGUUUUGCAAACCCUUUUUCCACACCAUCAACCACCGCUUCAUAAAUAGCACUCACAUUCUCUUGUUUCGAACCCGACAAAAUCCCCAUCAACUCCUUCGGUGAAACACCCUUUUUAAUAUUCUCCUUCGCCACAUCAGCAAGCUUCUUAUUAUUCCCAUUCCCAUUCCCAUUCCCGUUGACUGCUUUGACUUUUUUCGGCUCCUCGGUUGCUAACAUCACCAUGUCAGCGGUCACGGAACUGAGCUGUUCUUGAAUCCGUUGUCUGGCGGCCUCCGCUGACGUGUCGGUCUGCCAUUGGACGUCCCCGUCAUCUUCCGAAUCGUCCUUGUCGCCAGCCUGGCUGACAGUUGGCGAGACAUGAUCCUCGUCAGAUGCAUUUCCUUUCUUUUUUGUCGGCUUCACAUCUUUCUUCUUAACAUCUUUAGUCAACUUCUUCUGUACUUUAUCAGCAGCUUCACCUUCUUUUAAUCUUUCCUUUUCUGCCCUUCUCAUGGCCUUCUUAUCUUUCCCACCCUUUUUCACUUCUGGUGGAUUUUUCAAAAUAAAUGACGUCAGCUUAUCCCUCAUGUCCACAUCAGACACAAACCCACAAGCAGCACAUUUCAACUGCACCAUUUGAGUUUUUGUAAUCAAGAUUUCAGUUUCGGGAUUCCCGCAUCCGUAACACUGAACGUAUUUUUUUAUGAAAUUUUCAAGAAGACCCGCAAGUUUUGAAGUGUCGUGGGCCCCGUUGACCAGGGACACACCUGUCUUUUCAUCGAAUUUUGAUUGUGCACCGAGUUCACACCCGAAAUAUUUAGUGGUAUAAGAAGGUGGACGAGCCAAAGCUUUUGCCACAUCAACCAUGUUGACUAUAUUUGUUUUGAUUCCAUUUCCACGCCCUUCGAUUUUUGUAAUCAUUUUUGGCAUUUUGUAUCUGUAAAAGGCAUCAUCGCUGUUGCUUGCACCAAUGUUUUGUAAAGCCAUUUUUGGUAAGUGUUGGGAAGUGGUUAAGAUUCUUGAAUCUUGAUAUUAGAUUAGUGAGGUAAUGGAGGUUGAAAAGUGGGGGGUUUUGGAGGGGUAAAAUGGGGAAUUGGAAGGUUGCG
RNAcentral lists this long non-coding RNA (1348 nucleotides) under Lactuca sativa (garden lettuce). Its description in RNAcentral is "long non-coding RNA (LSAT_LNC004489)". Lineage: Eukaryota; Viridiplantae; Streptophyta; Magnoliopsida; Asterales; Asteraceae. The record is from RNAcentral.